GACGAACGCUGGCGGCGUGCCUAAUACAUGCAAGUCGAGCGAGCUUGCCUAGAUGAAUUUGGUGCUUGCACCAAAUGAAACUAGAUACAAGCGAGCGGCGGACGGGUGAGUAACACGUGGGUAACCUGCCCAAGAGACUGGGAUAACACCUGGAAACAGAUGCUAAUACCGGAUAACAACACUAGACGCAUGUCUAGAGUUUAAAAGAUGGUUCUGCUAUCACUCUUGGAUGGACCUGCGGUGCAUUAGCUAGUUGGUAAGGUAACGGCUUACCAAGGCAAUGAUGCAUAGCCGAGUUGAGAGACUGAUCGGCCACAUUGGGACUGAGACACGGCCCAAACUCCUACGGGAGGCAGCAGUAGGGAAUCUUCCACAAUGGACGCAAGUCUGAUGGAGCAACGCCGCGUGAGUGAAGAAGGGUUUCGGCUCGUAAAGCUCUGUUGGUAGUGAAGAAAGAUAGAGGUAGUAACUGGCCUUUAUUUGACGGUAAUUACUUAGAAAGUCACGGCUAACUACGUGCCAGCAGCCGCGGUAAUACGUAGGUGGCAAGCGUUGUCCGGAUUUAUUGGGCGUAAAGCGAGUGCAGGCGGUUCAAUAAGUCUGAUGUGAAAGCCUUCGGCUCAACCGGAGAAUUGCAUCAGAAACUGUUGAACUUGAGUGCAGAAGAGGAGAGUGGAACUCCAUGUGUAGCGGUGGAAUGCGUAGAUAUAUGGAAGAACACCAGUGGCGAAGGCGGCUCUCUGGUCUGCAACUGACGCUGAGGCUCGAAAGCAUGGGUAGCGGACAGG
RNAcentral lists this ribosomal RNA (788 nucleotides) under uncultured Lactobacillus sp. RNAcentral describes it as "bacterial SSU rRNA". It matches the Rfam family "Bacterial small subunit ribosomal RNA", at positions 28 to 776 of the family's 1533-position model. The record is from RNAcentral. Lineage: Bacteria; Bacillati; Bacillota; Bacilli; Lactobacillales; Lactobacillaceae.